Onychostruthus taczanowskii (white-rumped snowfinch) is the source of this 6197-nucleotide long non-coding RNA. RefSeq lists it as uncharacterized. The record is from RefSeq and is a predicted model, not a curated record. Lineage: Eukaryota; Metazoa; Chordata; Aves; Passeriformes; Passeridae. The transcript has 2 exons.
UUUGUUGUUUCUGCUGGGUCUGUAUGUCUCAUUCUGUCUUGGGUGACUUUUUUUUCUGGGAGACACCGCAGGUGAGUAAUUAGUGUUUGCGUCUGCAUGUAGAGAUCUAUGAUUAAACCAACUACUUAAUCAUACCUUCAAGAUCAUGUAAGUUAGAUUUUUGCUGGAAGCUGAGCAAGUGUAAUGGAGUUCAGAUAGGGAAUGCUAUGGGAUUGAUGUAUACGAAUAUAUAUCAUAUAAUCCCUUCUCUAAGUGUACAGACUUCAUAAUUGCUUUUCAGUCCUGAACACUUGAAAUUCAAAACAUGAAAAUUUUAAAAAGUGGUUUUAUCCUGUUUGAGUAGGUGCACUUUUUAUUGUUAUGUUUCCCUUUAAAAAAGCCAAAUGGUGUAUUAAAGGCUGAAUCCUCUUAUAAAUUACACUCUUGAUUCCUUUUUCUCUCUGGUAGAGGCUUUGGCAACAGGAGCCAUCACUAAUGUUGGUUUUGCUUUGUGCUUCAUUGGUUUAGGGCUUCCCUGUGAAAUCCUAGAAUAGUUACUUGACUGUGAUGGCCUUAAGCCAUUAAUAUCUCACAUUGGAGGAGACCAGUGGACAGUGAAGGAUUUAAAUAAAGCGUAGCAGAAGUUACUGGCCAACCGCCAGCCAGGGGACAAGUGGCUUCCCUUAAAAUGACUGAUGAAGCUUGAACAGAGACAUGACUGGAUUAGGUGGUGACUAAGGAGUAAACUGUGGGCUUUUCCUAAGACUUGGACAGUCUUUCUUGCCUCCUAUGUCCAGAAAGGUGAUGUGGUAGAACCUGAUGUACAUGCAAGAGGGGAGAGUCUUCUAAAGAAUCACCACUUAAAAUAAGUUGGUGGUGUUUUGUUUUUGUUUGGUUUUUUUGUUUGUUUGUUUUUAAAAUAAGAUUUUCUUUUUUUUUUUAUUGUGGCAAAGGGAAUUAUAACACUCGACAUACUUGAAAGAAGCAAUGCCAGAAUGCUGUAACAGCUUUAACCUGACUUGAUCUCUACUGUAAUCCCAAAUCCACCAAUCCCCUUUGCCUUGGUUCAUUAUCUCUGAUGUCUGCAAUUUAAAUAUGUUGAAUUAGGUAUUAAUCUUUUUCUAAGUUCCUUCAGUACUGAAGGUCACAGAGUAUUUUAUUUAGUGGCAGGAUUAAAAGUCUAGGUUGCUUUUUAACACAUUUAAAACUUGAAAUCUUCUUUCCAAGGUAAGUUAAAAGAAGCUGGUUUUGGUUUUGUGGUAUUAUGAUUUUUUUUUUCCUGACAUGCUCUCUUUUCUCUCUAUAAAAUGCUUACAGCCUUCCUUGAUGUUUGCUGUUGAUUAGUAUUCAGGUGAGGUAUUGAGUUAGAAUAUUAACAAGAGCUGUAAGACGUGUCUUUUGUACUUUUAUGGUUUCUCUUAAAGAUCAUACAUAAAAGCUGAGCACUGAUAAAAGUUCAGUUGUUUAUCAGAUUUCUGGUAACCUUUGCAAUAAAUGUAUCUGCAUGUAUCCACAAAAAGUUACUAUAAAAUUUCAAGGGAUGAUGAUUUGCAGAUGUAGGGGAGAAAGUAGUUUCUGUAUCUAAAUGAAAGUUUCCAAACUUAAAGGUGGAAUGGAGCAAUAUGUUGACUGGCCUGCUUCACUGGUUUUAAACUGCUGGUUGGAAUUUUAACAGAGGUGCUAGGGAGUUGUGGAUGUAUUAUGCUAGAUAGUUGUGGUCUCUUUGAAAUUGUGCCUGGCAGUGAAUGGAAAUUGCCUCUACCUAUUUAAAGGAAACCUUAAAUUGGUUGCACAGCAAUGUGUGAACUAAAUGUAAGAUUUCUUUUUAAUCCCAAAUGAAUAGCAAGGUAAAGUCCCCUCUGAAACUCCUUUAUCCUCAGCUAAACAUCCCCAGCUGCCUCAGCUGCUUCUCAUGGGACCUAGGUUCCAAACCUUCUGUGGACUUGCUCCAGAACCUCAAUGUCCUUUUUGAAGUGAGGGACCCAGAACUGGAUAUAGGUUUUGAGGUGUCACCAGUGCCAAGUACGGGGAAAGAAUGAGCUUCCUGGUUCUGCUGGCCACACUAUUCCUGAUCCAGCCAGCAUGUCAUUGGCCUUCUUGGCCACCUGGGCACACACUGGCUCAUGAUCAGCUGCUGUCAGUCAACACCACGAUGUCAUGUUCCACUGGGACACUUUCCAGCUACUUUUCCCCCAGCCUGUGGUGCUGUCUGGGCUUCUGACCCCAGGGCAGGACCUGGCACUUCACCUUGUUGAACUCGUACCACUGGCCUUGGCCCACUGAUCCAGCCUGUCCAGAUCCCUCCUGCAGAGCCUUCCUACCCUCCAGCAGAACACAACUCCCAUAGUGUCAUCUGCAAAAUGACUGAGAGUACCCUCGAUCCUCUUGUCCAGAUCAUUGACAAAAGUAUUAAAUAUGACCUGCCCCAAAACUGAUCCCCCUGGGGAGCUGACCGGCCUCCAGCUGAAUGCAACGCCACUCACCACCGCUCUUGGCUUGGCCAUCCAGGAAAUUCUUUUACCCAGUGAAAUCCUGGCCCACCUGAGCCAUGCACAGACAGUUCCUCCAAGAGAAUGCUGUGGGACACAAGUGUCAAAGGCUUUCCUAAAGUGUGGUAGAUGACAUCCACAACCUUGCCUUCAUCUGCCCGGUGGGACACGUUGCAAUAGAAGGAGAUGAGGUUGGUCAAGCAGGGCCUGCCUUGCAAGAACCCCGGCUGACUGGGACUGACAGAGACACUGCUUGCUCUUGUUGUCCUGCAUGCGCUGUGUGAUUGCACCCGAGAUAAUCUAAAUACCAACAUCUAAGGUCAGUUCAUAAAUUUCACAGCUUGGUUUUGUAGCUAUAUCUUCAGGAAAAAAUAACUCUAAUAUAUUGCUGCAAUAUGCAUCUUGUUGCUGGUUGACUAAAGAAUUAAAGAAAAAGUGUUGGAUACUCCUCUGUAAGAAUACUGUUCAUUCUUUUGCAUACAGACCAUUGAAAGAUUGAUUUGGUUAAGAAAUACCAAAACAGAUUUCUUUCAUGAGUUGUGCCAUUCCGUGAGUUCAAUAUAUGUUGCUGGCUCUAGCUAUUAGAGAUGUGUUCAUAAUAGUAGUUACUGAUUUUGAUGGCAAGUUUUACUCGGAGAAGUGCAACUCCUACAUACCAAUGGAAUGCCUAAGUCCUUUACUGUCAAACUUCUUGUCUGUGCUACUUACCUGUUACCAACAUUAUUGCUGCUUCUCUGUUUUCCUGUCUUUUCCUUCCUUAUUUAUUUACUUUACUUUAAUCCAUGACUUUUCUGUAUAACCUGUGAGAAUUUGUUGCUCGUUUGUACCCUCUUUAAUUCUUUCUGUUGCACAUGUGGAUGACUGUAGGCACAUACCACAGGGUAGCAAGAUGCCCACAUUUGACAGUCCAGUGCCAGAAAAUAUGUUGGAUUUUUGGAUAACCAAGGUAAUAGCUAUGAAAUGUCAUGGGCUUUGGUUACAACAAUGAAUGAAACAUAAGAAGAGCUGAGGUGGUGAAAAUUGUAGUGUAGUCCUCAAUGCUCAAUGAAUUGUCAUUUGAGCUGGAUUCAGCUUGGAAGUCUUGGAUCUUAAACCACUGUCAUAGUGUCCUAGCUUCAGGAUAACUGGACUUGUUGGUGGCCUGAAAACAAAAUGCAAGAUUGGCAACUGUAGUCUAGCUCACUGCUAGGAGACGUUUAAUUUUUGGUCUUACUGAAUGUGAGGUGGGUGUCACCUCACAUGAAUUUUUAUGUAUUUCUUUAAUUCCUUCCUUAGGACAUGACCUUAGAAGACAAGCUGAGAAUUUGGGGUCAGCAGUGAAAGUGUCACUGCUGAUAAGUUUCUUGAACUUCCACAAGUCUUCUUAUUCAAUGUCUUCUAAUUUCUUGGCUUCACUUAAUUUUUGCAUUGCAAAAUCUAAUGCAACAUUAGUAUAAAUGUAAGAAUCUCAGAGGUGGAUUUAUUUUCUUUGAGUAGAAGUCUUGUGUUGGAGAACUGCUAAUUCAAGGAGGAACUAUUUAGGAGAGUUGCACUCUGCCUGGAAUACUUUCAAGCAACUUAGUAGCUUAAAACAAUACAGAAGUCACCAAGUUGCUUUAAAUGGUAUUUUCUAAAUUUUGGCAGUUAGUCUGCGCUAUUACCAGUUCUUCAGUUAAGGCUUGAUUUCAGGUGACCCUGUUUGGAUAUUCAAAUUUUAGGCAGAUUUGUUCACUACCUGCAAGAAAAAGCCUAAAAGGUGACUUAAUUACUCCAAGUCAAAACACAAAUGCCAAAUUCCCUGGUGAUCUAUAACAUUUCCUUUACAAGUUUCCUUUUGCAAUGUAUAAAUUGGAUAUUCCUGUUAAAUAGAAGAUAAUCAGUGAUGGAUUUUUCUUGGUUCAUAGACUCCUCUUGGACUGACCACAAUGUUACUGUGUUGAGUAGUUUGUUCAAGGGUUUUUGAGGGUUUUUUAUUUCUUCUCAUAGAAUUUAACUAAAAAGGCCAAAUAGAAGUAUGUUAAUAGUCUUUCUGAACAGGGUCGAUUAAAGUAUUUUUCUUGCUGCUUUUUUGCACUGAAAUCUUGUUCUUGCUUUUCUUGUUUUAAGCCAUAUUUUUUGUGAUGUCUGCAGAAACUUUGUGUACAUCUUUCAUCUGCACUCUGGUAAACUCCUUUUAAUGUUUAAUUCUCUAAGUUCCUUAUAAAAAUGUAUAAAUUACAAUAGGUGAGAUCUUGCAUAUUUUUGUGACCAACAUUUAAUUCAGAAAUUCAAAUAUUAAAGUGGCUUAAAGCUUCCUGGGCUUUGUGUGAAACUUAUUUUAAACCACUGUAGAUGUGUCUGUGUGGCAUGUUCUAUUCAUGCAGGAGUUUUUAGAGCCUUGAAAACACAUACCAUCAUUUUUACUUUGACUACUUGCCUGCUGUUUUUUGAUGAGGAAUACGAACCUCUGACAGCCAAAGCCCUAGUAACUUGUUAAACAGUGAUCAUAAAAAAACCACCCAACCAAAUCAAACUUCUUUUCACCAAGCAGUUCUUCACUGUUAAAGCUUUAUGAAAGUGACAAUACAUGGAAAAUGAGCUCGAAGGAGGAGGAAGAAUUCUCUGCAACAGAUCUUCAUGUCUUUCACUAAAAGGAAACUUGUCAAGAUAAUUGCCUCAACUAUUGUACCUUGGAGCAGCAUGUACAAAACUGAUCUUAAGAUGAAAGAGUGAUUAGUAUUUGAAAUAGCUGACAGGGAAAAAAUCAGGAAAUACAUUUUUUUUAAAAUAUAGUUUACAGAAGAUAUGACUAAAGUCCGCUAAGAGGUUAUUCUUACCUAGUAAAAAGGCACAGCUGCUGAAAGGAAAAAGAAUACUUAGAAAAUUGCAAGAUCCAUUUUUGUUCUUAAAGAAACACAUUACUUGUCGUGUCAGCUCCUUUAGUGAUGUGUUUUGACUUUUCUCUAGGAAACUGGCAUUUCUGCAGUAUUCAGAAUUGGGUCAACCUUCUGUUAGCAGAUUUUGGACUUUUGUCUGUAAUUAUUUCUGUCAACAAGUCAUGAUUUUGUGCCUGUUUAACUAGGAAUUAACUCAUAGCCUUUUAACAACAUUUAAGAAAAUUUCAAGACUGUUCUGAAAGGAUGAGGGUAUUCAAAGUAUUUGUAGUAUUUCAGCUUCUUUUUCUACUGGUGCAGCUUGAGAGAGAGAGCAGAGUUCCAGCAGCCUGGUAGUGAUACCCAGAUGCAGCUGGGGAAGGCAUGUUUUACAGUGGGUAUAGGGGCCAAGUAAAUCUCUUGUGGAGUGUUGACUCUGUAAAAGUUGCAUUUCUUCAACAAACCAUGUGCCAUUGGUAUCUAAAUGUGCUGAUGUAGUGUAUACAAGCAGAUACUCUGCCUUUUUGUGAGGUAUGCUAAGUAUAUAUCUGGCAGGAAACACUAAUAUUAUAAUGAGGUUUUUAAAUUGACAGUCUUAUGUUGUGUCAGAACCUUGUUACUCUACAGAUGCGUUUGUAUAAUGAACUUUUCUAUUGGAGAUGAAAUUACAUCUUUGGAGUUUUACACUGACUUUGGUCUUUAUAGAUUAGUGUAAUUUAAAACUACAAACUGUUAUUUUGAUGAAUAAGGUGUAUAAUUAUAAUGACCUUUUUCAGUAACUCAAAUUUUCUGUUAGUGCACUCAAUCACAAAGAAUAUUUUUCAGCAUUCUUUAGAAUGCUACCUCAUCUGUUGUUAAAAUCAGGUAAUUCUUUGCAUUAAAACUGUAUAGAUGAAAA